AUGCCCAAAGGAUGAUAGUAAGCUUACUGUGACAUAACUCCCGGAGCCGCAGCACGAGCCUUGUGAACCUUGGAAGCCCGUUUUCCGCGCAGUCACUAACUCGCUUAGUCACCCUGUGUAAAAGUUAUUCUGGGAUGACACCUGCCUGGGAAGUCUCACCUUUCCCCCCACCUCCUCCUGUCUGCGUAUUGUUCUGUAGCACCCCGUGCGCACCUUGAUUGUAGCGCUUAAGCAAGGCAAUUUACUUCUAUAGAAGGGUGCGCCCUCACAGAUGGAGCAAUGGUCAGCUGGUGAUGCAGUUGCAGCCAGGAAUGAGUGAGCACCAGCCUGGGAACAUUUAUUCAGCGAAGGUGGUGGAGGAUGGGCCCCUGCAGGCUGGUUUCCUACGUGAGGCUGAUGCUGUCAUGGUUUCCCUGAGGUCAGUGGGAGCUUGCUCUCACUCAAUGGAUUCUCCACACGGUCCCCACUCCCCGCGACACCUUGACUUUUGGACCAAGUCUAAACUCCAUAGUGUGGCUUAGAAGGCCCUUCACAGGAUGACUGACCCCUGUGGAACUACUCAGGAUUCUUUGUUGCAGCCAAGAAAAGCCAAUUCUUGUUGAUUAAGCAGAAAAGGAGUCUUUUUGGAAAGAUAUCAAGUAACUCAUAGAAUUGUCCAGAAGGCUAAGGAACUGGCUUGGAAAAACAACAGAAGCUCAGGGAGGAGAGAUAAAGACUUUGGGAGCAAAGAUGAGGUUCGGAGAAAGGUUUACUGUCAAGCAAGGAAUCUGAUCUGACCCAGAGAACUUCAGUUCUGGGGAUGAGGCCCUAAGAAUCCGGUCUCCGUCAGGAAAGCAGUCUGUGGGCUCUGGAGCGACCUGGGAUCUGGAGUACAGUUCUGUUGGACAGUGCUGCAAGGAUGGAGAGACUAUUAAGAUCACCUGACUACACCAUUUAAAAAAUUUUUUGAAUGAACUAUCUUUGUUUGUAAGCCCCAAAACAUGGUCUGAAGACUCAUUAGUGACCUGAUCAUACAGCUGACCUCUGAACAACAUGAGUUUGAACUGCGUGCGGGUCACUUAUAGGCAAGUGUUCAACUGCACGGGGCAGGAGCAGUUGGUGCCCAAUCUGCUAAUUGUUCAAAGGUAGAGUGUAGUUUUUAAAGACAAGUGAGGUAAUUUCUUUUAAAUCUCUAGGCUACUACAAUACAGAAUGCUGGGAAAUGAAUUAAUGUUAUGCUUACGUGUGCUUUUCAAAAUUCCCCUUGUGACUAAUGGGAUGUCACUCUGCAAAAACAUUGUUAGUUUCCCAUUGAUUCCACUGGUUUGAGUGUGUUUAAUGCCGAGGAAAGUGAGAGUUCUUUCGGAAGAUGGUAGGUUUUUGUCUUUUUGAGGUGGUUCAUUUACUUUGAGAAUCAUCAUUUUGUAUUUUUAAAACCAAGUCUUAUAUGCAAAAUUAUUGAACUGUGAGAAGAAAAGGCAAAUAAAAUCUUUCUUUUUCAUUGCAAAUGUGUCUUUAUCCAGUAAUGACUUUGAAACGGGCAUCUAAAUACUUUCUCUGAAACCCCAGUGAAGAAAGUCAAGGGGUCAUCCAGGGUGAAGAUCUUAAUUGGCCUGUUUCCUUCAGCAAGUCUACAUGCUUGUUGAUUUAGCUUCUCAGCUUCUAAUUUUUGUAGAUUUCUCAAAUUCAGGAUCUCCAUCUCCCUUCCUCUUACUCAUCCUCCUACCACCCCUAGAAUCCUGAAUCUAGACAAAGAUAAAAUCCAUAAGUGACAUUUUCUGUAAGUGAAGUUGGAAGUAAUUUGGGAAAAAGCUACAGUAAUUAUAAGUGGUUAUGAAACCCUAAUUUUCUGACAAGAACCUACUAUCUCUCUGGACAUAGUUAUACUCAAGCACAUCAGUUUCCCUAGACAAUAUCAUACACAUCAUAGCCUCUGUGACAUAUGGUUGUAUAGGUUGUGGGUUGUGCACUGCACAAGGACACAUUUAAGGAGGUGUUGCUCACAUUAUAUACAUCACAGAUUUGGUACUUAUAACAAAAAUAAAAACAAUUUUCCAGAAGAUGGCAGUAAAGUUGUUGGAGGCUGAAAGAAUGAGGGUCGUGGUCAACUCAGUGCACCACUGGCGGCUAUAUGAGCAAACAGCAAACUGUUCUCGUGAAAGCAGGAUGUUGGUAAACUGACAAACUGUGCCUGCCGCCCAGUAGGAAUGCUGAGGGCAGUCACAACCCAGGCACGAGUGUUUCUUGUGAUUAGGCACAACUGAAUCCUGUUAGCAAUAAUGUGAA
This 2265-nucleotide long non-coding RNA is filed under the name Homo sapiens (human). RNAcentral's name for it is "HSALNT0372047". The record is from RNAcentral. Lineage: Eukaryota; Metazoa; Chordata; Mammalia; Primates; Hominidae.